RNAcentral lists this ribosomal RNA (1271 nucleotides) under Cellulomonadaceae str. WB13. RNAcentral describes it as "bacterial SSU rRNA". It matches the Rfam family "Bacterial small subunit ribosomal RNA", at positions 106 to 1393 of the family's 1533-position model. The record is from RNAcentral. Lineage: Bacteria; Bacillati; Actinomycetota; Actinomycetes; Micrococcales; Cellulomonadaceae.
GUGAGUAACACGUGAGUAACCUGCCCCUGACUCUGGAAUAACCGUGGGAAACGACGGCUAAUACCGGAUAUGAGACGUCCACGCAUGUGAGCGUCUGGAAAGAUUUAUCGGUCUGGGAUGGACUCGCGGCCUAUCAGCUUGUUGGUGGGGUAAUGGCCCACCAAGGCGACGACGGGUAGCCGGCCUGAGAGGGCGACCGGCCACACUGGGACUGAGAUACGGCCCAGACUCCUACGGGAGGCAGCAGUGGGGAAUAUUGCACAAUGGGCGCAACUGAUGCAGCGACGCCGCGUGGGGGAUGAAGGCCUUCGGGUUGUAAACCCUUUCAGCAGGGAAGAAGCGAAAGUGACGGUACCUGCAGAAGAAGCGCCGGCUAACUACGUGCCAGCAGCCGCGGUAAUACGUAGGGCGCAAGCGUUGUCCGGAAUUAUUGGGCGUAAAGAGCUCGUAGGCGGUUUUUCGCGUCUGCUGUGAAAACCCGAGGCUCAACCUCGGGCUUGCAGUGGGUACGGGCAGACUAGAGUGCGGUAGGGGUGACUGGAAUUCCUGGUGUAGCGGUGGAAUGCGCAGAUAUCAGGAGGAACACCGAUGGCGAAGGCAGGUCACUGGGCCGCAACUGACGCUGAGGAGCGAAAGCAUGGGGGAGCGAACAGGAUUAGAUACCCUGGUAGUCCAUGCCGUAAACGUUGGGCACUAGGUGUGGGGCUCAUUCCACGAGUUCCGUGCCGCAGCAAACGCAUUAAGUGCCCCGCCUGGGGAGUACGGCCGCAAGGCUAAAACUCAAAGGAAUUGACGGGGGCCCGCACAAGCGGCGGAGCAUGCGGAUUAAUUCGAUGCAACGCGAAGAACCUUACCAAGGCUUGACAUACACCGGAAAAGUGCAGAGAUGUGCUCCCCGCAAGGUCGGUGUACAGGUGGUGCAUGGUUGUCGUCAGCUCGUGUCGUGAGAUGUUGGGUUAAGUCCCGCAACGAGCGCAACCCUCGUCCUAUGUUGCCAGCACGUUAUGGUGGGGACUCAUAGGAGACUGCCGGGGUCAACUCGGAGGAAGGUGGGGAUGACGUCAAAUCAUCAUGCCCCUUAUGUCUUGGGCUUCACGCAUGCUACAAUGGCCGGUACAAAGGGCUGCGAUACCGCAAGGUGGAGCGAAUCCCAAAAAGCCGGUCUCAGUUCGGAUUGGGGUCUGCAACUCGACCCCAUGAAGUCGGAGUCGCUAGUAAUCGCAGAUCAGCAACGCUGCGGUGAAUACGUUCCCGGGCCUUGUACACACCGC